This 468-nucleotide ribosomal RNA is filed under the name uncultured bacterium. Its description in RNAcentral is "partial 16S ribosomal RNA". It matches the Rfam family "Bacterial small subunit ribosomal RNA", at positions 28 to 507 of the family's 1533-position model. The record is from RNAcentral.
GAUGAACGCUGGCGGCGUGCUUAACACAUGCAAGUCGAACGGAAAGGCCCAAGCUUGCUUGGGUACUCGAGUGGCGAACGGGUGAGUAACACGUGUGUGAUCUGCCCUGCACUUCGGGAUAAGCCUGGGAAACUGGGUCUAAUACCGGAUAGGACGAUGGUUUGGAUUCCAUUGUGGAAAGUUUUUUCGGUGUGGGAUGAGCUCGCGGCCUAUCAGCUUGUUGGUGGGGUAAUGGCCUACCAAGGCGUCGACGGGUAGCCGGCCUGAGAGUGUGUACGGCCAGAUUGGGACUGAGAGACGGCCCAGACUCCUACGGGAGGCAGAAGUGGGGAAUAUUGCACAAUGGGCGAAAGCCUGAUGCAGCGACGCCGCGUGGGGGAUGACGGCCUUCGGGUUGUAAACACCUUUGGCUAGGGACGAAGCGUUUUUGUGACGGUACCUGGAGAAGAAGCACCGGCUAACUACGUG